This 3727-nucleotide long non-coding RNA is filed under the name Capsicum annuum. Its description in RNAcentral is "long non-coding RNA (CANN_LNC011848)". The record is from RNAcentral. Lineage: Eukaryota; Viridiplantae; Streptophyta; Magnoliopsida; Solanales; Solanaceae.
AAGUAUAGUUUAGUUGUUGUCUCGAAGCUUCCAUGGCUUGUUGAGCUUCUCUUCUUCAAUGCCCGAGUAAUGAAACUCCAAUGCGAAGAUGUUGAUCUGAUGCUUCAAGGUGAGUGUAUCGAUUCAACUCGCCAAUAUAAUUUGUAUAGUUGCAAACCAAAACUAGCUUAGAGCCAAAAAGAGUUUUUACUAUUAACAUUCUACGCCUUUUUGGGUAGGUUCCACAUCAAGACAUCCGAAUAAGCUCUAACCUGAUGUUAUGGUAAUCGAUCCCAAACAUGAAAAUUUCUUCAAAGUAUAGAUUUAUACAGUCAAAUCUAUCUACUCAAGGUAAGGUUCCAGCCAGAUCUGUACUAGAUUCACAACUUUGAGAUACUUUCUAUGUUGGUCUAUUUAACUAAACUUUUCUCCGUCGUUUAAGUAGGUUGACCCUCACAAAGAAGUUAAUACCACUGUCUAACUUCAGGAGAUGGAAAUUCAGUCAAAUAGGUUGGUAUAUAACUUACAUAUUCUAGUACAUUUGUAUUGUGAACCUUGUUUUAUGUAUUGUAACAACCUGUCAAAGGCCUCUUAUCUUUAGAUGAUUUGUAUGACUUGCAUUCCUAUGCAUUGUGUCGUUUACCUUCUGAAAACAUAGCCUUGAAACUCUUUGCUUAUCUAUGUUUAAUAGAUUUCUUGCUCUAAUGGGUAGAUUUGCAAAAUGAGUAUAGUUUAUCGAACAUGCAAAAUGGAAAACAAUGUUAACUAAAAUAUCUGCCACCUGGUUCCCAAUAGUAAUCCCUUCCGUUUCCUUCCAUUCUUGAAUCCUUAUCAUUUCCGUACUAAUAUUCCAUGGAAUCUUUCAAUCAUUUUCAAUGAUCCUUUUCAUUGCCAAAGAAUCAGUUUCCACCACUAAAGACAAAUAGUUUUGAGGCAAAAUUCUAUGCCCUGUUCAAUUGCUUUAGCUUCAACAUAGAGGCUUGUUGCAUUGGAGAUGCUAUUAGUACUAGCAUGAAUACAUUUCAAAUGUGUCAUUCCUGGCGCAAAAGGCCCAUGAUGCAAAACCAGAGUUUCCUUUUGAGGAGCCAUCUGUGUUGCAUUUAACAAAACCUUUAGGUGGAAAUUGCCAAUUAAUAGGCUGACAGAAUAUAUGAGAUUAAAGAGCUUUAAAAUAUUGCACAAUAAGAAUUUAGGCAUUGAGAAUUUUGGAUAGCCAAGGAUACAUCACCACAGAAUAUUGGCGCCGAUUAAGAUCAAUAUCAUAGAAGUCCCUAGCGGUAGACAUUACCUCCAUGUACCAAAUUGUUUCUCCAUCUUCAAAUGUGCCACACUAGAGAAGAAAUAAAAAUUCAUCCAAAUAAGUGUGAAGAUAUGUGUACUCACAGUCAUAUUGAGUCCAACCAAUGGUCAUUUUUUCAAGAUCAUACAGAAAAAGUUUGUUUGAUAACAUUAUAUCUGCAUAAAAAAUUUCACAAGUCAUGCCACCAACAUGUCUAGCAAUUAUGACAAGCUGCAUAUUUGAUACAUAAUUCCUGUUCAGCUGAGCCGUACUACUUUCACAAAUGAAUGGAGGAAUACUUACAAUUAUAAUUACAAAAGAAGAAAAUGUUAAUAAUAAAAUUUAUAAUUGAAUUUAAUUUUUUUCCAGGUUUGGAAAGAAUAUAUCUCUGACUACUAAACUGCCUUGCAACAUUACUCUUCAAAGGCUACAACAUUUAUUUCAAGCAAAUCCGGUCCAAAUGAAAAAAAUUAUUGACACAAGGUGUCUGACACAAGGUUGAGUUUCAUUAAUGUAACAUCCCGUAGUUAUAACACUCGAAUAACGCAUUCAAAACGAACCUUAGGACCCCAUUUUGAUGGUAGACCAUGUUUAGAUGUUGCGGGUUGUCUUGGGGUGCUUUUAGGCCUUAAAAGCGGGUGUGCGUCGUGAUUUUGACCCUCCACAAAGGCCUUGCAUCAUGGAACAAACGCAAACAGCCACUAGAUGGAGUUGGCUUUUGGCAUGCGCCGCCAACCCUGAGGCUGACUUUGGUUGUGUGCCGCCAAUCCUAAGGUGGGCUUUGGCUGUGUGCCGCAAGGCAAAAGCCAAGUAUCAUAAGUUGCUUAGUUUUCUUCUAUUUUAAGGGCGUUGAAGUCUUUUCACACCCUAUAACCAUUCCUAAUCUUAUAUGGACGAAAUUAAUCUCUUAACAUACGUUAUUUUCACUUCUCAAAUAUCUAAUUAUCACUCCAUAAGCGAGAGAGGAAAGAAUACCUAGGGUUGAGGAUUUUGAGUUCAAGAGGGUAAAUUACUCUACGUUUUUGUCCAUUUCAAGGUAUGUGGGACUAUCCUAAAACUCAUGGGCAUAAUCUUAUCGUUUAAACAAAUUUUAAAGGUGCAUGAUUACAUAUAUGAAACGGGUUUUUGAAUUGUUGAAGAGUAUGUAUUGUAAAUCCUGUUUUAUGAUGAAAUCUUGUAUAAACUAUGAGGUUCUUUUUUUGGCUAAACUUGAAUUGUUUUCAUUUGUACAUGGGUUAUGAGUUUUGAAAAUUGACAUGAGAGCAUACCUUACGAAAUUCCCUCUCUUAUUGUGAAUUCCAUUGCAUUAACAUGUUGUGGGUUGUUCAAUUGCAUGAUUAAAUAGCUUGAGUUAAAUGUUACAUUACCAAUUGUUGAUUUGCAGUGCUUUAUGAUUCUAUGAGAGGGUAUUUAUGAAUUUGUAAAUGCUUUACAUCCUAAUGGGAAAUUUCAUGUGUUUGAUGAUAGAAAUGACUACCCUAUGUUGAGGUACUAAAAAGGGAGUAUUUUGCAUGAGUUUUACAUGUUUUGAAAUAAGAACUCUCUUACAUUAAUUAAAUGUUUUGGUGGUCCAGUAACAUUCUUUUCGAUUGAAAAGACUAAGAUAUGAUAUACUAUGAUAUGGCAUAUACGACUUGCAAGUCUUGGUAUGACGAUACUAAAACAGAUAAAUGCUAUGGAAGAUUCAAAAUAGAACAAACUCCAGACUUCAGAUCAGAAUUUCAGUAAGAUGCAUGUUUUAAAAGGCUAAAAAUAGAUUGUAAGAGAAUUUAGAUGGUUAUACGAAGAAGGCACGGGUUCAGCUGACUCAUUUCCCAAAAUCGUAUUUUGCUGACGCGAGUCAUUAUAUCCUGAAAUAUGGAUAUUAUACGCUGGACAUGUGUCUUUCGGCGUAUCAGAAUAAGAGACUCCAGCCUGUGCGACAAACUUAGGUUGGGGGUUUGGCCUCCGAUUUAAUGGUGGACCCAUAUAGCCCAUGGGUAAUUAGAGUUGUAGGGUGUACCAUCUAGCUCAGAACUAAAGUAAAGACUUAAGUUGAUGUUUUACAAGCACGAGUGGAUGUUUUUCAUUGAUUAUGCCCAUAUGUUUCUAUAUAUAUUAUGAUAAAUUAUUUUCAGAAGGGCUCACUUAUUUUACAUGAAGUAUGUGUUAUUUUUGGAUUGUUAUACAUACUAGUACUUUCGAGUAUUGACCCCCCUAUCCACAGGUUCAGAGGCUCAGUCCCGGGGUCCAGCUCAGUACUAGAUUAUUCCCAUACUUUCAGAACUUGGUGAGCCUCCUUUACACCAAAAGACAUUCUAUUUAGAUGUAAUCUCAGUCAGUUUUAUGGUCCUGCCGGGGGCUUUGUCUCGGUUUAGUCAAAGUAGUGUUUAUUCUUUCAAUUUAGUAGAGGCUUUGUAGACUAGUGUAACAUGGAAUUUACAUUGUGAUAACAACUUUAUUGAUUGUAUGUUAGAGGGUACUUGUUAU